AGCAGCCGCGGUAAUUCCAGCUCCAAUAGCGUAUAUUAAAGUUGUUGCAGUUAAAAAGCUCGUAGUUGAAUUUCGAGACCGGCUUACUGGUCGUGCUAUUGUACGUACUGGUAUAAUCGGUUUCUCCUUUCUGACGAACUAUAAUGCCAUUAAUUUGGUGUUUUAGGGAAUCAGGACUGUUACUUUGAAAAAAUUAGAGUGUUUAAAGCAGGCUCACGCUUGAAUACAUUAGCAUGGAAUAACGGAAUAGGACGUUUGAUUCUAUUUUGUUGGUUUCUAGGAUCGACGUAAUGAUUAAUAGGGAUAGUUGGGGGCAUUAGUAUUCAAUUGUCAGAGGUGAAAUUCUUGGAUUUAUUGAAGACUAACUACUGCGAAAGCAUUUGCCAAGGAUGUUUUCAUUAAUCAAGAACGAAAGUUAGGGGAUCGAAGACGAUCAGAUACUGUCGUAGUCUUAACCAUAAACUAUGCCGACUAGGGAUCGGAUGAUGUUAAUUUUUAAUGACUCAUUCGGCGCCUUACG
RNAcentral lists this ribosomal RNA (520 nucleotides) under uncultured Glomus. RNAcentral's name for it is "SSU rRNA". It matches the Rfam family "Eukaryotic small subunit ribosomal RNA", at positions 569 to 1092 of the family's 1831-position model. The record is from RNAcentral. Lineage: Eukaryota; Fungi; Glomeromycota; Glomeromycetes; Glomerales; Glomeraceae.